RNAcentral lists this RNase P RNA (297 nucleotides) under uncultured Massilimicrobiota sp. RNAcentral describes it as "Bacterial RNase P class B". It matches the Rfam family "Bacterial RNase P class B". Rfam says of the family: Ribonuclease P (RNase P) is a ubiquitous endoribonuclease, found in archaea, bacteria and eukarya as well as chloroplasts and mitochondria. Its best characterised activity is the generation of mature 5'-ends of tRNAs by cleaving the 5'-leader elements of precursor-tRNAs. Cellular RNase Ps are ribonucleoproteins. Lineage: Bacteria; Bacillati; Bacillota; Erysipelotrichia; Erysipelotrichales; Erysipelotrichaceae. The record is from RNAcentral.
AGAAAUAGAGGAAAGUCCGAGCAUCCACAAUCUGUGAUGAUUGUAGUGUUUGUACUGCAUCUAAUAAAUGCAGGUAGCUUGGCUAACGACAGACCUAAGACCUAAACCGUCAGGCAUGGUUGAUAAGUCAUAAAGUGCCACAGAAACAAUGUCUUUUGAAAAAAAGAGUGAAAAGAGGUAAACUCUGCAAGGAUGAAACCCAAAUUUUGGUAGGGGAGCUUCAUGAAAGGAAACGAACGGACAUGAAGAUGCAAUGCAUAGAUAAAUAAUCGGUUGAAAAACAGAACUCGGCUUAUC